GUCUCCCUUUCUCUGUCAGGAAGCUCUCUCUCUCUUUCUUUCUUUUUCUUCAAGAUUUUCCGCAUUUUAUGUUCUCUAGGGUUUAAUAUUGGAGAAUUUGACUUCAUGAUUGGUAUUUAACAAUGUCUUUGUGAUUUUUUUUACCAAGAUUCUCAAUGUCUUUGUGAUUUAUCUUCAAGAUUCUACGAUGUCUUUUUUUAUAGCGAAGAAUAUAUCGUACCUAUAGUCAUCGAUGGAUGUUUUGGUCACUAUUUUUAGGCUUUUCUAUAGGGUUGUAACUGUUUGUGGAAUCUUUAAUGGUGAAGUACUUGAUUUAGAUCAAAUAAAUUUUUGGGUUCUUCAAGUAAGCUUUCUCUUCUUUCUUUUUUUGAUGGAUUUUCGUACUGCUAUUUCAAGAUUUUCUUAUCCCUGCUGUAUUGUAAUUGUGUCUUGGGCUCUUUAGGGCUUUAGGUUGGAGAAUUUGACUGUAUUGGAAUUGAACAAUGUAAUUGAUGUUGUUGUGCUGUAGUGGUUUAUUAUUUUCAGAAUUUACAAUGUCUGUGUGAAUUUUUUCCAAGAUUCUACAAUGACUUCUCUUUACUGAACUAUAUGGUACAUAUAGUUGUCUGAUGGAUGUUUUAGUAGCUCCAGUGAUUACAGUUUAGUACCUUUGCUAUAUCUUGGAUGUUUUUGCUUCUUCUCGAUUUUUUGAAGAUGAUGAACUUUACCUUUUCCUGUUGAGAUGCAGAACAGAGAAUCUUAAUAAUCAGUUUACUGUACUCAGUGUCACUUCUGGCGUCUUGCAUGUUGUUGGUGAUUCAUUAUUUCCCGAUAUUUUUGAUAAAAACUACCUGGAGGGUGCCAUAGUUCUCCAACAAAUUGAUAAGAAGUUAUUCCGAUUGUGGCGAGCACAACAGAUGAUAUAACUGAUCAGGUCUAUUUUGUCCUUUCCAUAAUCGGCCAUUUUCGGUUUCUCACGAAAUUCCUUAUAAUGCAUUUACUUUACUUUUCGGUUUCUCAUGAAAUUCCUUAUAAUGCAUUUACUUUAAACGAUUGUUUCUCUUAGGAAUAGUUUCGUUGGACUCAUUAGCAAAUAUACAUCUCAGCAUAAACUUCCGCAUAAAUUGUGUAACAUUUUUUGGCUGCAUAAGAAAAAGUAAUAUCCGCAUAACUAUGUACCACACAGUUGUCAACAUAUAAGAAAAAACAAGCUCAACAUGACUAAUGCAACAGUUUGUUGACGGUAUUUACUGUUCAUUAUUAAUAUCCUCAUGACUUAUGAUUUUAUGAUUUUGUUAUGUAUUUAAUGGAGAGAUGCGGAGAAAAUUCCAUUUCUAGGUGUUUCUUCUUUGUCUCAUAAGGCUACUGGUGCUUGCAGUCAUGAAAGCUUCCUAAGCUUUUGAGCUGAUUCGUGUUUUGACUUGCAGUCAUGAAAUCCUUUUCGUUGUAUUUCACAUGCACUCCCUCUUUUCUUAUUCUUAGUACUCAAUCUGCUCUGUUUUAUAGACAAUGAAUAUUUGGAGGUUUUCAUCCGUCAAUGUCCAAUAAAAAAUGUUGCCUGUCGAGGCAAAGAAUUGUUGCUUGGAAUGGCACUUCAGGUGGGUUAAUGAUAUUUUGGGGAAAAUUCCGUAUUUUGGUCUUUCUUCUCCAUCGCAAAGGUUAAUUUUUUUCGUAACUAAAUAACCCUUUUGGUAAAAUUACACGACCUUCUACAGUCCUACUCUUGUUGUUCUUAAUUAUUAGAUUUUGAUAUUUGCUACAUCAAUCGUUUUGGAGCCUUGCUAUCUGUAGGAGACUGUUACAUCCAGCUAUAUACUAAUUUUUUGAUUUCUGACAAAGUAUUUUUUGAAAUAAUAUGGUUCUUUGUUGUUUCUCUCUGAUUUCUUGAAAUUCCUAAUAGAUAUUUAUUGCAUGCAUUGGUAAUGCUUGUUAAUAAGUCUGUUAUAUUUUUAUCACUGCACCACGUGAAGAAUAAUUUCCAUGGUAUGUAUAUUUGUCCCGUAAGUAUCAAUUUUGAGUUGUACUAGCCCCAGGGCUUUGGUCAGUGACGAGGACUCAAAAUGGGAUUGUGAUAGGGAACAUGUCAUAAGUUCUUUAUUUGAUGAAGCAAGUAGAUUCAUUUAUAGGCAUCAAGAAUAUGGAAGCUUUACAAUGAUAGAUCACUUAAGCUCACAAAAAUAUGGAUUUUUAGCUUCUUCCUAAACAGUAGAGCUAACAGAAUCCAAAAAGAGUUCUAAAUUACUUAUAGGGGUCAAUUUGGACCAGCUAAAAAGGCUAACUAGACAUCUACCUCGCAAAAGAUUUCUAGAAGUUGAAAUUCCAUCAGAACGUCUUUUGUUCCUCUGUCCAUUAACACAAAAAAAUAGCACAAGGGAUCAUCAUCAAGAUACUCUUGAUGGCUUUGUCAACUCCUGUGAACUCCAACUUUCAAGAGCUUCCCUAUCUUUGAAAGGCGUGACCCAGGAAAGACCAAAAAACAACAAAACAUGUUCCAGAGGUCUGAGACAAUCGGGCAGUGCAAUGGGAAGUGGUUGACACCUUUUGUGUUCUUGUGGCAGAAGUAGCAUCGGCUGGAAAGAUGAAAUUUCUUACUGGAGAGAUUGUCCUGUGAGGCAUGAGUUGUGCAGUACAGUCCAGCUUAAACAGAUCACUUUGGUCAAGUGUGAAAGGAAACUUGUUAACAUCUGGAAUAGCAAAUUACAAGCUCAAGGGGAGUGCACAUGUUCACACGAUGGGAGUUAGAAGGAGAACAAUGCUGGACAGUAUACUGUAUUCAGUGUCACUUCUGGCGUCUUGUAUUUUGUUGGCAAUUCAUUGGUUUCUGGCACUAUUGAUCAAAACUGCCUGGAGGGGGUGCCAAAUUUCUCUAACAGGUUGAUAAGAAGUUUAUUCCGAUUGUGGUGAGCAGCCAGCACAACACCUGAUAUAAUUGAUCAGUCAUCGUCAUGUUCUUCAGCAUGCUUCAGAUGAGCGAAUUCGUUUGGAAGAACUAACGACUGUCUAAAAAUUCAUUGAAAUGUCACUUCAACUUGGAGGCUGCACUUCAUUGAAUUAUCAGGUCCUAUCUGACCUAUCUUGAUUCUGAGCAAGAAUUAUUACGCUUAUUUUAAUAAUAGGUCAUGCCUGAAGUUAUUUACCAAUUACCACACAACUAUGCUGACCAAAUUCAAAACCGGGGUUGGAUUUGCAACAAUCAUUCUCAAGCUUCAAGAUCACUUAUCAGUUAAUUGGUUGCAUAUAUGAAGAGUUUGGCAUAUGGAUCAAAACAUGAUGACGGAUCUCUUUGCAAAGGAAGAUGGUACUAGGAAAAAAAAUUAAGCAUAAUUAGAGAUUAUUUUUUCACUUUAAAAUUUAUUAGCAACUUAAUUGCGUUUGCUAGAGUUUUUAAAGUUUUAAUUUAUGUAAAUAAUUUAGCUAAAUGUAUUAUAUUGUCAAUACUAAUCAUUUGAUCCUUUAGUAUUCUA
Solanum lycopersicum (tomato) is the source of this 3443-nucleotide long non-coding RNA. RefSeq lists it as uncharacterized. NCBI's taxonomy places the organism in Eukaryota, Viridiplantae, Streptophyta, Magnoliopsida, Solanales, Solanaceae. The record is from RefSeq and is a predicted model, not a curated record.